GAUCCAGGUGAGCUUUUCUUCUUCUUCUCUCCUCUUCAUUGUGUUAUUUUUAUCAUUUCAUUCUUCUGAUGACUGGCCUUCUACUUGCAGCUGAUCUACAAUAUGUCCGAGCUGGAGGUCAGGUACCGGAGGUUCGGCGACAUCCAGACGACAUAGAAGAAUAGGGCCGAAACCGUCGAAGCUGAGAAGGCGACGCUGGUGGACCA
This 206-nucleotide long non-coding RNA is filed under the name Elaeis guineensis (African oil palm). RNAcentral describes it as "long non-coding RNA (EGUI_LNC072472)". Lineage: Eukaryota; Viridiplantae; Streptophyta; Magnoliopsida; Arecales; Arecaceae. The record is from RNAcentral.